Molecule: ribosomal RNA, 1372 nt
Filed under: uncultured bacterium
Lineage: Bacteria
Description: bacterial SSU rRNA
Rfam family: Bacterial small subunit ribosomal RNA
Source: RNAcentral
GAUGAACGCUGGCUGCGUGCCUAAUACAUGCAAGUCGAGCGAACGGACGAGAAGCUUGCUUCUCUGAUGUUAGCGGCGGACGGGUGAGUAACACGUGGAUAACCUACCUAUAAGACUGGGAUAACUUCGGGAAACCGGAGCUAAUACCGGAUAAUAUUUUGAACCGCAUGGUUCAAAAGUGAAAGACGGUCUUGCUGUCACUUAUAGAUGGAUCCGCGCUGCAUUAGCUAGGUGGUAAGGUAACGGCUUACCAAGGCAACGAUGCAUAGCCGACCUGAGAGGGUGAUCGGCCACACUGGAACUGAGACACGGUCCAGACUCCUACGGGAGGCAGCAGUAGGGAAUCUUCCGCAAUGGGCGAAAGCCUGACGGAGCAACGCCGCGUGAGUGAUGAAGGUCUUCGGAUCGUAAAACUCUGUUAUUAGGGAAGAACAUAUGUGUUAGCUACUGUGCACAUCUUGACGGUACCUAAUCAGAAAGCCACGGCUAACUGCGUGCCAGCAGCCGCGGUAAUACGUAGGUGGCAAGCGUUAUCCGGAAUUAUUGGGGCGAAAGCGCGCGUAGGCGGUUUUUUAAGUCUGAUGUGAAAGCCCACGGCUCAACCGUGGAGGGUCAUUGGAAACUGGAAAACUUGAGUGCAGAAGAGGAAAGUGGAAUUCCAUGUGUAGCGGUGAAAUGCGCAGAGAUAUGGAGGAACACCAGUGGCGAAGGCGACUUUCUGGUCUGUAACUGACGCUGAUGUGCGAAAGCGUGGGGAUCAAACAGGAUUAGAUACCCUGGUAGUCCACGCCGUAAACGAUGAGUGCUAAGUGUUAGGGGGUUUCCGCCCCUUAGUGCUGCAGCUAACGCAUUAAGCACUCCGCCUGGGGAGUACGACCGCAAGGUUGAAACUCAAAGGAAUUGACGGGGACCCGCACAAGCGGUGGAGCAUGUGGUUUAAUUCGAAGCAACGCGAAGAACCUUACCAAAUCUUGACAUCCUUUGACAACUCUAGAGAUAGAGCCUUCCCCUUCGGGGGACAAAGUGACAGGUGGUGCAUGGUUGUCGUCAGCUCGUGUCGUGAGAUGUUGGGUUAAGUCCCGCAACGAGCGCAACCCUUAAGCUUAGUUGCCAUCAUUAAGUUGGGCACUCUAAGUUGACUGCCGGUGACAAACCGGAGGAAGGUGGGGAUGACGUCAAAUCAUCAUGCCCCUUAUGAUUUGGGCUACACACGUGCUACAAUGGACAAUACAAAGGGCAGCGAAACCGCGAGGUCAAGCAAAUCCCAUAAAGUUGUUCUCAGUUCGGAUUGUAGUCUGCAACUCGACUACAUGAAGCUGGAAUCGCUAGUAAUCGUAGAUCAGCAUGCUACGGUGAAUACGUUCCCGGGUCU